AGAGACAUAGCUUUGUUGGAAGAGUGCUUGCCUUGCAAGCACAAGGCCCUGGGUUCAAUCCCCAGCACCUCAA
This 73-nucleotide transfer RNA is filed under the name Ictidomys tridecemlineatus (thirteen-lined ground squirrel). Its description in RNAcentral is "Spermophilus tridecemlineatus (thirteen-lined ground squirrel) tRNA". It matches the Rfam family "tRNA". From Rfam's summary of the family: Transfer RNA (tRNA) molecules are approximately 80 nucleotides in length. Lineage: Eukaryota; Metazoa; Chordata; Mammalia; Rodentia; Sciuridae. The record is from Rfam by way of RNAcentral.